AAACCCUUUAACACGAAUUUUCUACAACUGUCUAGGAAUACGAAAGUUUAUCGCGUAUCUAUGUAUUUAUUCACUAACAUGAAUAAUGUCGGGCCUUGCGGCUUGAAGGGUGACAAGACAAAACGAUAAACUAGAAAUAUACAUUUUCUUGUGUUAAAUAGUUUCUGUGAUCACUUAUUAAAAGGAUGAUCACAAAAAGAGGAUUUCAUUCUUUUUUCAAAAUCACUUGAACUUGAAAUCUUGAGCCGCCAGAUGUCGGUGUUACUUUACAGGAGCUGCUUCAGUCUGCUGUCCAUCAGUCUUCUUCUGUCUAGCAGCUGUCUGGAAGAUGCUGACUACUGUCUUUCCCUGUGGGGCCAGUGGUUACACAGAAAUGGACGAUCACUCAUGUGGAUUUUCCUCUCUCUUUUGAGACGACCAAACCAGAUCCAGUUUCAAUGCGUCCAUUCACUCACUGAUGAUGAUGAGGAUGAUGAAGAAAAGCAGCGUGAAGGGCCAAGAAAUAAAACGAUGCUGGAAACUCACAUUAUUAAAAAGAUCACAUUAAAAGAAUGAUUACACAACGAUUUUGUUCUUUUUCAACAUUUCCAUGCAUGCCUUUAAAGUUUCACUCUUUAGAUCAGGUUUAGAUCGAGUGAAAUGUAACACUAAUAAUAAAGAGAAUAAACAAUAAAUUAAAUUAUUAAUAAUAAUAACAACUAUGUGGCAAUAAAAAUAUAGAGGAAAAAAAUACGAAAAUACAAAAUUAUGACUGUGCAGAUGUGUUACACUGGCGCGACGAAGGGUGUUCCAAAUUUAAGUGUGUGGACUCCGAAGACCGCAUUUGAAGUGCGAAUGCGUCAACGCGGCGCGACGAAGGCUGACAAAUUUCGAAAGCAACUUCAAAUGCGCCCUUCAUUUCCCAUGAAAAUGAAGUGUACAUCUUAUGGACACUUCGCACCCUACCAUAUCCCAGAAUCACUUGCGUGCAUAUGACGAAGGUGUUUAUAUUCAGAGGCAGACGAGAGUUCUGUGGAGGAGACUGUAACGUUAUUAUCCAGUGAGUGAGGAUUGGCUGCGCUGUGUGCGAGAGGAGCGCGUGCUGGUUCCGAGCGGUUGUGGACGAUCGACUGUGGAUGGCGAGGCGAUUGGCUCCCAAGGCGGUUGGCAACAACUGGACUGUGAAUGGACAGGAGUAUGCAGAAGGAAGUGACGGUUCAGGAAAUGAAUUAGGAGAGAUGGAAGUAGGUAGCGGGAGUCAGGGGAUCAACUGUAGAAGAAACGAAGAGAGAGGAAUAUAAAGUGUUUGCAAAGCUUAUGCAUGAAGGAGACUCGUUUGAAGGAUCCAGCGUUCCAGGAUUCCAUUAAACAAAAGAUCAUUCACCUUUAUUUAUAUAGUGCUUUUAAUAAUACAGAUUGUAUCAAAGCACUGAAUAGUAUCAAAUAGGAGAAUAGAGCAAUUUAUAAUGACAAGCUUAAACACUCAAUUUCCAGUUAAAUGUAUUUUAUUAUUGAAUGCAGAGACGUCAUUGUCUAGGUCAGUUCAGUUUAAAUAGGAUCUGUGUAAUCAAAUCAACAAUAAUCGCUAGAAAAAAAAGAUAACAUUUUCUAUUUUAUGUUCAGACUGUUAAAUAAAAUUAGUUUUAUGUAUCAAGGCUGUGUUCCAAUAGUGUCAAUCACUGUAUUGUAGGCUAUUUAUGGGUUUCUAAAUAUACAUCUAAUUAAAAACUUGUGAAGUUGUUUAACUAUGGAAAUGGUAAAUGAGUCAAUAAAUGAGUGAUCCCUGCCCCCUACAUGCUAUUU
Molecule: long non-coding RNA, 1782 nt
Organism: Cyprinus carpio carpio
Lineage: Eukaryota; Metazoa; Chordata; Actinopteri; Cypriniformes; Cyprinidae
Source: Ensembl